RNAcentral lists this ribosomal RNA (416 nucleotides) under Bacillota bacterium. Its description in RNAcentral is "Firmicutes bacterium partial 16S ribosomal RNA". It matches the Rfam family "Bacterial small subunit ribosomal RNA", at positions 355 to 776 of the family's 1533-position model. Lineage: Bacteria; Bacillati; Bacillota. The record is from RNAcentral.
UGGGGAAUCUUGCACAAUGGGCGAAAGCCUGAUGCAGCGACGCCGCGUGGGGGAUGAAGCAUCUCGGUGUGUAAACCCCUUUCGAUUCGGACGAAUGCCCGCAAGGGAGUGACGGUACGGAUAUAAGAAGCCCCGGCUAACUACGUGCCAGCAGCCGCGGUAAGACGUAGGGGGCCAGCGUUGUUCGGAAUUACUGGGUGUAAAGGGUUCGUAGGCGGUGCGGCAAGUUGGGAGUGAAAUCUCUGGGCUUAACCCAGAGGCUGCUUCCAAAACUGCUGUGCUCGAGUGUGGGGGAGGCGCGUGGAAUUGCAGGUGUAGCGGUGAAAUGCGUAGAUAUCUGCAGGAACACCCGUGGCGAAAGCGGCGCGCUGGACCACUACUGAAGCUGAGGAACGAAAGCUAGAGGAGCAAACAGG